AACGAACGCUGGCGGCAUGCCUAACACAUGCAAGUCGAACGAGACCUUCGGGUCUAGUGGCGCACGGGUGCGUAACGCGCGGGAACCUGCCCUUAGGUUCGGAAUAACUCCCCGAAAGGGGUGCUAAUACCGGAUAAUGUCUUCGGACCAAAGAUUUAUCGCCUUUGGAUGGGCCCGCGUUGGAUUAGCUAGUUGGUAGGGUAAAAGCCUACCAAGGCGACGAUCCAUAGCUGGUCUGAGAGGAUGAUCAGCCACACUGGGACUGAGACACGGCCCAGACUCCUACGGGAGGCAGCAGUGGGGAAUAUUGGACAAUGGGCGAAAGCCUGAUCCAGCAAUGCCGCGUGAGUGAUGAAGGCCUUAGGGUUGUAAAGCUCUUUUACCCGGGAUGAUAAUGACAGUACCGGGAGAAUAAGCGCCGGCUAACUCCGUG
Molecule: ribosomal RNA, 433 nt
Filed under: uncultured bacterium
Lineage: Bacteria
Description: partial 16S ribosomal RNA
Rfam family: Bacterial small subunit ribosomal RNA
Source: RNAcentral